Molecule: ribosomal RNA, 587 nt
Filed under: uncultured Glomus
Lineage: Eukaryota; Fungi; Glomeromycota; Glomeromycetes; Glomerales; Glomeraceae
Description: eukaryotic LSU rRNA
Rfam family: Eukaryotic large subunit ribosomal RNA
Source: RNAcentral
CAUGGAGGGUGAGAAUCCCGUCCGGCUGACCUUCAGGACGUUUUACGAUACGCUCUCAAAAGAGUCGAGUUGUUUGGGAUUGCAGCUCAAAAUGGGAGGUAAAUUUCUCCUAAGGCUAAAUACCGGCGAGAGACCGAUAGCGAACAAGUACCGUGAGGGAAAGAUGAAAAGAAUUUUGAAAAGAAAGUCAAACAGUACGUGAAAUUGUUGAAAGGGAAACGAUUGAAGCCAGUCGUACCGACGGGAAUUCAACUUCUCGAGUGCUAAUCGUGGGUGACGUUGAGCCUCACGGCCUUCGUUGCUUGUGUUGUUGGUGCUUUUGGGGUGUACUUUUCCGUAUUGGUAGGUCAGCAUCGAUUUCGAUCGUCAUAAAAUGAUCGGGGGAAUGUAGCUUCGGUCUCGUAUCGGAGUGUUAUAGACCUUGGUAGAUGUGACGAUUGGGAUCGAGGAUUGCAACGAAUACCUUCUGGGCUAUCCGUCUGACCUCUGAAAGUCGCUCGGGUGUCGAAAGCGUGCUUAUGGCUAUUCGAGUUGGCGGUCAAUAGGUUAGAACGUGAUUACAUUCGUUAAGGAUGUUGACGUAAUGG